GAUCAUGGCUCAGGAUGAACGCUGGCGGCGUGCUUAACACAUAGCAAGUCGAACGGAGUUUUAACGGAAGUUUCGGAUGGAAGUUAAGAACUUAGUGGCGGACGGGUGAGUAACGCGUGGGUAACCCUGCCUCAGUACAGGGGGAUAACAGUUAGAAAUGACUGCUAACACCGCAUAAGUAUAGUGAAACCGCAUGAUUUUGCUAUCAAAUAUUUAUAGGUAUGAGAUGGGCCCGCGUCUGAUUAGCUAGUUGGUGGGGUAAAGCCUACCAAGGCGACGAUCAGUAGCCGGCUUGAGAGAGUGACCGGCCACAUUGGGACUGAGACACGGCCCAAACUCCUACGGGAGGCAGCAGUGGGGAAUAUUGGACAAUGGGGGAAACCCUGAUCCAGCGAACCGCCGCGUGAGUGAAGAAGUAUUUCGGUAUGUAAAGCUCUAUCAGCAGGGAAGAUAAUGACAGUACCUGACUAAGAAGCCCCGGCUAACUACGUGCCAGCCGCAGC
Molecule: ribosomal RNA, 503 nt
Filed under: uncultured bacterium
Lineage: Bacteria
Description: bacterial SSU rRNA
Rfam family: Bacterial small subunit ribosomal RNA
Source: RNAcentral